Molecule: ribosomal RNA, 429 nt
Filed under: Chloroflexota bacterium
Lineage: Bacteria; Bacillati; Chloroflexota
Description: Chloroflexi bacterium partial 16S ribosomal RNA
Rfam family: Bacterial small subunit ribosomal RNA
Source: RNAcentral
UGGGGAAUAUUGCACAAUGGGCGCAAGCCUGAUGCAGCCAUGCCGCGUGUGUGAAGAAGGCCUUCGGGUUGUAAAGCACUUUCAGCGGGGAGGAAGGCGAUAAGGUUAAUAACCUUGUCGAUUGACGUUACCCGCAGAAGAAGCACCGGCUAACUCCGUGCCAGCAGCCGCGGUAAUACGGAGGGUGCAAGCGUUAAUCGGAAUUCCUGGGCGUAAAGCGCACGCAGGCGGUCUGUCAAGUCGGAUGUGAAAUCCCCGGGCUCAACCUGGGAACUGCAUUCGAAACUGGCAGGCUAGAGUCUUGUAGAGGGGGGUAGAAUUCCAGGUGUAGCGGUGAAAUGCGUAGAGAUCUGGAGGAAUACCGGUGGCGAAGGCGGCCCCCUGGACAAAGACUGACGCUCAGGUGCGAAAGCGUGGGGAGCAAACAGG